UUUGCAUGAUGAACAAAACUUCUCACCAUCUUUCGACUGAGAACAAACGUUGAUGUCAAAUAAGUUUUUAACUGAUCCAAUGA
Molecule: small nucleolar RNA, 83 nt
Filed under: Rhagoletis pomonella (apple maggot)
Lineage: Eukaryota; Metazoa; Arthropoda; Insecta; Diptera; Tephritidae
Source: RNAcentral